Molecule: transfer RNA, 72 nt
Filed under: Camelus bactrianus (Bactrian camel)
Lineage: Eukaryota; Metazoa; Chordata; Mammalia; Artiodactyla; Camelidae
Also listed under: 2 other names
Rfam family: tRNA
About the family: Transfer RNA (tRNA) molecules are approximately 80 nucleotides in length. Their secondary structure includes four short double-helical elements and three loops (D, anti-codon, and T loops).
Source: Rfam by way of RNAcentral
GAGGGUAUAGCUCAGUGGUAGAGUACAUGCCUAGCACUCAUGAGGUCCUGGGUUCAAUUCCCGUUACCUCCU